GACGAACGCUGGCGGCGUGCUUAACACAUGCAAGUCGAACGGAAAGGCCCUGCUUUUGUGGGGUGCUCGAGUGGCGAACGGGUGAGUAAGACGUGAGUAACCUGCCCUUGACUUUGGGAUAACUUCAGGAAACUGGGGCUAAUACCGGAUAGGAGCUCCUGCUGCAUGGUGGGGGUUGGAAAGUUUCGGCGGUUGGGGAUGGACUCGCGGCUUAUGAGCUGGUUGGUGGGGGAGUGGCUUACCAAGGCUUUGACGGGUAGCCGGCCUGAGAGGGUGACCGGCCACAUUGGGACUGCGAUACGGCCCAGACUCCUACGGGAGGCAGCAGUGGCGAAUAUUGCACAAUGGGCGGAAGCCUGAUGCAGCAACGCCGCGUGCGGGAUGACGGCCUUCGGGUUGUAAACCGCUUUCGCCUGUGACGAAGCGUGAGUGACGGUAAUGAGUAAAUAAGCACCGGCUAACUACGUG
This 468-nucleotide ribosomal RNA is filed under the name uncultured bacterium. RNAcentral describes it as "partial 16S ribosomal RNA". It matches the Rfam family "Bacterial small subunit ribosomal RNA", at positions 28 to 507 of the family's 1533-position model. The record is from RNAcentral.